AUUGAACGCUGGCGGCAUGCCUUACACAUGCAAGUCGAACGGCAGCACGGGAGCAAUCCUGGUGGCGAGUGGCGAACGGGUGAGUAAAGUAUCGGAACGUGCCCAGUCGUGGGGGAUAACGUAGCGAAAGUUACGCUAAUACCGCAUACGAUCUAUGGAUGAAAGCGGGGGAUCGCAAGACCUCGCGCGAUUGGAGCGGCCGAUAUCAGAUUAGGUAGUUGGUGGGGUAAAGGCUCACCAAGCCGACGAUCUGUAGCUGGUCUGAGAGGACGACCAGCCACACUGGGACUGAGACACGGCCCAGACUCCUACGGGAUGCAGCAGUGGGGAAUUUUGGACAAUGGGCGCAAGCCUGAUCCAGCCAUGCCGCGUGCAGGAUGAAGGCCUUCGGGUUGUAAACUGCUUCUGUACGGAACGAAAAGGUUUGACUUAAUACGUUGGACUCAUGACGGUACCGUAAGAAUAAGCACCGGCUAACUACGUGCCAGCCGCCGCGGUAA
RNAcentral lists this ribosomal RNA (500 nucleotides) under uncultured bacterium. RNAcentral describes it as "partial 16S ribosomal RNA". It matches the Rfam family "Bacterial small subunit ribosomal RNA", at positions 30 to 523 of the family's 1533-position model. The record is from RNAcentral.